UAACGCGAAGAACCUUACCAAGGCUUGACAUAUACCGGAAAGCAUUAGAGAUAGUGCCCCCCUUGUGGUCGGUAUACAGGUGGUGCAUGGCUGUCGUCAGCUCGUGUCGUGAGAUGUUGGGUUAAGUCCCGCAACGAGCGCAACCCUCGUUCCAUGUUGCCAGCACGUAGUGGUGGGGACUCAUGGGAGACUGCCGGGGUCAACUCGGAGGAAGGUGGGGACGACGUCAAAUCAUCAUGCCCCUUAUGUCUUGGGCUUCACGCAUGCUACAAUGGCCGGUACAAAGGGUUGCGAUACUGUGAGGUGGAGCUAAUCCCAAAAAGCCGGUCUCAGUUCGGAUUGGGGUCUGCAACUCGACCCCAUGAAGUCGGAGUCGCUAGUAAUCGCAGAUCAGCAACGCUGCGGUGAAUACGUUCCCGGGUCUUGUACACACCGA
Molecule: ribosomal RNA, 436 nt
Filed under: uncultured bacterium
Lineage: Bacteria
Description: bacterial SSU rRNA
Rfam family: Bacterial small subunit ribosomal RNA
Source: RNAcentral